UACGUAGGGUGCGAGCGUUGUCCGGAAUUAUUGGGCGUAAAGAGCUCGUAGGCGGUGUGUCACGUCGGCCGUGAAAACCUGCAGCUUAACUGUGGGCGUGCGGUCGAUACGGGCAUCACUGGAGUUCGGCAGGGGAGACUGGAAUUCCUGGUGUAGCGGUGAAAUGCGCAGAUAUCAGGAGGAACACCCGUGGCGAAGGCGGUUCUCUGGGACGGUACUGACGCUGAGACGCGAAAGCGUGGGGAGCGAACAGG
RNAcentral lists this ribosomal RNA (254 nucleotides) under uncultured bacterium. RNAcentral's name for it is "partial 16S ribosomal RNA". It matches the Rfam family "Bacterial small subunit ribosomal RNA", at positions 524 to 776 of the family's 1533-position model. The record is from RNAcentral.